Long non-coding RNA from Cyprinus carpio (common carp), 676 nucleotides. RefSeq lists it as uncharacterized. The record is from RefSeq and is a predicted model, not a curated record. NCBI's taxonomy places the organism in Eukaryota, Metazoa, Chordata, Actinopteri, Cypriniformes, Cyprinidae. The transcript is spliced from 4 exons.
GGUCUGCUUAGGCUGGCAGGCCCACUGGGUCCUUUGUUGCUACAACUUUUGUGAUCAGAUUUUAAGCAGAAAUAUGCUUCUGUAUUUGCCGAUGACACAGUGGCUGAUUACAUAUACCAUGUGAACGCACAAACAGCCAGCGGUGAGACGGCAUUUAAAAACAUGACAAUCCCAUACGCAUGGCCUCAGCACCCCAUGAUGAAUCGUGUGGAGAUGAUCAGUCCCUCUCUUCCCAUGACCUUCAUCUACGGAUCACGUUCCAACAUCGAUGGCCAAUCAGGAAAAGCCAUUCAAGAAAUGAGACCCAACUCACACACAGAAAUCAUAGUCAUUCAGGGUGCGGGUCACUACGUAUUCGCAGACCAAUCGGAUGACUUCAACCAGGCUGUGCUCAAGAUAUACAAUAAUGUCAAGCACAAUGGGAAGGAUGAAUGAGAGAGAGAGAAAAAUUAACAAAAAUUGCAAGGUGGAGAGGCUAUGUGAGCCCAAGUCAUGUACGUGACAGGAGGAUUAGAUGAAGGUGUGAAAUGAGAGACAGAGGAAGAAGAGAUAUAGAAAAUAUAAAGGAAAGAAAUAUUAAAACUUGCUCAUCAUUUAUAGCUUCCUGCAAGCGUGCUUUACAAAAUACCUAGGCCUAUGCAAAUAAUGCUUCUCGUGUAACAUCUGUUAUAUUACA